AUCAAAAUACGUCAUAUUUUCUCUUUUAAACAAUCACGCGAAAACAAUAUUUUCAAAUCUAGUCGAGCUUUAAAACUCCGCAACUAACUUUUAACGAACCCAAGAAAUAUAGGAUGAUCUACAAGCUGUUUCAGUCUUCAAGACCUCUAGAAAAAAAACGUUGUGUGGAUCAAUUUUAAAGCUGAAAAUAUUUUUGAUUUUUGUCAAGAUUUUGGUCGAUUUUUAGCACGGUGAAUUGGCAAUAACUCCGGACUUAUUGGUGAUAACCUUUUAUGUUUGGAACAAAAGUAUUAUAUUUCCAAAAAUCGACUUUUGGAUAAAACGUUUCCAGAACACAAUAAUUAUGUGUAAUCUCAUAUUUUCAAAUUAAUGUUAAUAAAUAAAAGCCACUGAA
Tribolium madens (black flour beetle) is the source of this 394-nucleotide long non-coding RNA. RefSeq lists it as uncharacterized. The record is from RefSeq and is a predicted model, not a curated record. The transcript has 2 exons. NCBI's taxonomy places the organism in Eukaryota, Metazoa, Arthropoda, Insecta, Coleoptera, Tenebrionidae.